GAUGAACGCUGGCGGCGUGCCUAAUACAUGCAAGUCGAGCGAACGGACGAGAAGCUUGCUUCUCUGAUGUUAGCGGCGGACGGGUGAGUAACACGUGGAUAACCUACCUAUAAGACUGGGAUAACUUCGGGAAACCGUAGCUAAUACCGGAUAAUAUUUUGAACCGCAUGGUUCAAAGGUGAAAGACGGUCUUGCUGUCACUUAUAGAUGGAUCCGCGCUGCAUUAGCUAGUUGGAAGGUAACGGCUUACCAAGGCAACGAUGCAUAGCCGACCUGAGAGGGUGAUCGGCCACACUGGAACUGAGACACGGUCCAGACUCCUACGGGAGGCAGCAGUAGGGAAUCUUCCGCAAUGGGCGAAAGCCUGACGGAGCAACGCCGCGUGAGUGAUGAAGGUCUUCGGAUCGUAAAACUCUGUUAUUAGGGAAGAACAUAUGUGUAAGUAACUGUGCACAUCUUGACGGUACCUAAUCAGAAAGCCACGGCUAACUACGUG
RNAcentral lists this ribosomal RNA (496 nucleotides) under uncultured bacterium. Its description in RNAcentral is "partial 16S ribosomal RNA". It matches the Rfam family "Bacterial small subunit ribosomal RNA", at positions 28 to 507 of the family's 1533-position model. The record is from RNAcentral.